GACGAACGCUGGCGGCGUGCUUAACACAUGCAAGUCGAACGGAAAGGCCCUGCUUUUGUUGGGUGCUCGAGUGGCGAACGGGUGUGUAACAUGUGAGUAACCUGCCCUUGACUUUGGGAUAACUUCAGGAAACUGGGGCUAAUACCGGAUAGGUGCUCCUGCUGCAUGGUGGGGGUUGGAAAGUUUCGGCGGUUGGGGAUGGACUCGCGGCUUAUCAGCUUGUUGGUGGGGUAGUGGCUUACCAAGGCUUUGACGGGUAGCCGGCCUGAGAGGGUGACCGGGCACAUUGGGACUGAGAGAGGGCCCAGACUGCUACGGGAGGCAGCAGUGGGGAAUAUUGCACAAUGGGCGGAAGCCUGAUGCAGCAACGCCGCGGGCGGGAUGAAGGCCUUCGGGUUGUAAACCGCUUUCGCCUGUGACGAAGCGUGAGUGACGGUAAUGGGUAAAGAAGCACCGGCUAACUACGUG
RNAcentral lists this ribosomal RNA (468 nucleotides) under uncultured bacterium. RNAcentral's name for it is "partial 16S ribosomal RNA". It matches the Rfam family "Bacterial small subunit ribosomal RNA", at positions 28 to 507 of the family's 1533-position model. The record is from RNAcentral.